This 1054-nucleotide long non-coding RNA is filed under the name Betta splendens (Siamese fighting fish). RNAcentral describes it as "lncRNA (ENSBSLG00000012178.1)". The record is from RNAcentral. Lineage: Eukaryota; Metazoa; Chordata; Actinopteri; Anabantiformes; Osphronemidae.
CCUCAGCGGCUCCCGUCACAGCGCGUGACAUCCUGAGCACAGCGGAAGCGGCUUUGCAGGAACCCGGAGACGCAGAAAUGCUUCUUAAUUCUGGAGAGACUGGCACACGGCGGCGUGCGGGGACGAUUGUGGGUUGUGCAUUGUAAUUAAAGUCAGAAAACUAAUUUACACCUGGAGCACAUAGCUGUAGAUACGCAGCCCGCUCAUUGCCGCGCUGUCACUAUUUGUACUGUGGUUUCUCUGCCGCCACAUGGACUUCUAGAGGCGCCGACUGUAAAUAACGCUGCGGCCGCGGGUUCGACCGCUUUCUGCAGCUCCGUUGCAAUGAGGAGGACGGCCGAGCUCCGCGCUCCGGUUUCGUGCCAUUUCAGCUCCAUUUUGCUCGAGAACCCAAGCAGGUCAGUGUUGAUCCUGAGGGCAGCACAAGCAGAGAAGAACAUGAACAGGCCCAUUUGGACUUAAGCAGGUGAGGAGACUAAUGCAACCACACGGUGCUCCUGCUCACGGCACAAACUGUCGGCACUCUGGGUUCACGCUCAGAACUCUGGGUCGGUUCUAGUCCGCGUUGGAGGGAGCAGCAUCACUCUAUGCAGCGACCCCCCCCCCUUGGAUCCAGAGAGAUGUAGCAGGUUUAUUGUUUAGAUAGUCGUAACCCCGACUGACUGUUACCUGGUUGUUGUAGUGCAGGUAAAUGGACAGUGAGUCAGCUAACGGUCUGACAGUGGAAGCUUAUUUUAGACUGGAAACUGGAGCAGGACUCACUGAAGUGAGGAGGAAAUAGCAAAAGGAAACUAUGAAUGUGUGCGCGAAAGUACAUGCUAAUGAUUAGAGUUCAGCUUGUUUACGUGCGCAGUUUGAAAUGUUGUCUGCAGAAGACGAGGUUGGAUUAAAAUGCUGAAGCUCGAUGGACAGGACGGCCUCUCAGGUCCGCGCUGAGAAGAACCUGCUGUCGGAGCCUUUCCCAAGAGUUCCCUCGGCUUCUCUUUGUCACAGCCGAGCAGGGAUGAUAUGAGUACGAAAUAAAUCCUCUGAGUCACCGUGAUUGGGGUUCGUC